This 952-nucleotide ribosomal RNA is filed under the name Mycoplasmopsis bovis. RNAcentral's name for it is "bacterial SSU rRNA". It matches the Rfam family "Bacterial small subunit ribosomal RNA", at positions 363 to 1320 of the family's 1533-position model. Lineage: Bacteria; Bacillati; Mycoplasmatota; Mycoplasmoidales; Metamycoplasmataceae. The record is from RNAcentral.
AUUCCACAAUGGACGAAAGUCUGAUGGAGCGACACAGCGUGCAGUAUGAAGGCCCUAUGGGUUGUAAACUGCUGUGGUUAGGGAAGAAAAAGUAGCAUAGGAAAUGAUGCUACCUUGACGGUACCUGAUUAGAAAGCAACGGCUAACUAUGUGCCAGCAGCCGCGGUAAUACAUAGGUUGCAAGCGUUAUCCGAAAUUAUUGGGCGUAAAGCGUCUGUAGGUUGUUUGUUAAGUCUGGCGUUAAAUUUUGGGGCUCAACCCCAAAACGCGUUGGAUACUGGCAGACUAGAGUUAUGUAGAGGUUAGCGGAAUUCCUUGUGAAGCGGUGAAAUGCGUAGAUAUAAGGAAGAACAUCAAUAUGGCGAAGGCAGCUAACUGGGCAUAUACUGACACUGAGAGACGAAAGCGUGGGGAGCAAACAGGAUUAGAUACCCUGGUAGUCCACGCCCUAAACGAUGAUCAUUAGUUGAUGGGGAACUCAUCGACGCAGCUAACGCAUUAAAUGAUCCGCCUGAGUAGUACGUUCGCAAGAAUAAAACUUAAAGGAAUUGACGGGGAUCCGCACAAGCGGUGGAGCAUGUGGUUUAAUUUGAAGAUACGCGUAGAACCUUACCCACUCUUGACAUCUUCUGCAAAGCUAUGGAGACAUAGUGGAGGUUAACAGAAUGACAGAUGGUGCAUGGUUGUCGUCAGCUCGUGUCGUGAGAUGUUCGGUUAAGUCCUGCAACGAGCGCAACCCUUAUCCUUAGUUACUACCAUUUAGUUGAGCACUCUAAGGAGACUGCCCGAGUAAUCGGGAGGAAGGUGGGGACGACGUCAAAUCAUCAUGCCUCUUACGAGUGGGGCUACACACGUGCUACAAUGGACGGUACAAAGAGAAGCGAAGUGGUGACAUGGAGCAAACCUCAAAAAACCGUUCUCAGUUCGGAUUGAAGUCUGCAACUCGACUCUG